CUCUCGAAAUUCAGCAACUGCUAACAGCGAGGAGGGGUUUUGAAAGGUAAAGGCCAUUAGCUUGGAGGCAGAAGACAGACCUCCCUGACUGCUGAAUUCCUGCCGGCCUGAAAUUGGAGCAUUCCAAGCUCCUCAGAUGAGUCAUAAGCCACCAAGAUUGUGAGCCUCUGGGUGCUAGCCAGGAUCACUCCCUCCGAAGUCACACCAGAGGGAGGGCUGGAGGGAGAAUCAAAUGAAAGAGAGAGGGAGAGAAAGGAAGGAAGAGAAGGAGGGAGAAUGGAAGGAUGUAUGGAUUUGGAUGUAUGGGUUCCAUUCCUUCUACCCUGGCAAAAGCUUACUCAUCCUUCAGUGUCCAUCCAAAAUGGCAUCUCUUCUUGGGCACCAUCUCCAGAGUCUCCUGCAAGCAGGUAGCUACAUCCCACAAAACAACCACCCAUCUGACCAUGCAAGUGUGUGGGGGAAUGAAGACCAGCCCAGGAAUCUGAGAUGAAUGUUUUGCUUCUUGCUCUGCCACUGACUCACAGGGUACCCCAAGCAAGUCCCUUCACCUCCUCGGUCUCAGUUUCUCCAUUUAUACUACUAAGGCAGUGGACAUGAUGGCCUCAAGUCUCAACAUUUUUAUUCCCUGAAAAGAAACUCUUGGUGCUGAGUGGUCUUCUUCUGCCCUGACAUCUCACCUUUCAAACGCUUGUCUCUUCUCACCCCACCCACCACUUAGCAUGUGCUCUUGGAGAACACCCAGGACUCAGGGUCUCUGCACACAUCAUGAGUCCAGCUCAGCAUUUGAGGUGGAAUCAGAGGAAAGGAAGGAGAGUGGGGAGAAUAGUCAGUAUUUUGGCAAGCUCAUCAUACCUUCCCCCUUUGUAUAGAAACUUCAAACCAUUUCCCUUUGAAGGCACUACCUCCUUCCCCCAGUUAUAAAUGAGUGAAGGUCUCAAGCCUGGACAACCAAAUGCACAGUGAUUGGUUCAACUCUGGACCUGUGACUCAAGCCAGACCAAGGGAGUGACAUGCAGGGCUUUGCCUGGAACUAUUCUGAAAGGGGCACUCUCUUUCUGCUGGGCUACUGAUAAUAUGUGCAUCCGUGAUAGAAGAGCCUGCCUGAUAAUAAAGCCAAUAAGGGAAGAGCAGAGCCAAGAGAUGGUGGGAGAGCAGAUGCCUGAAAAUAUCAUUUGAGCCCCUGGGUCCAGCUGCACCUGAAGCCACCACGAUCUCCUGGACUUUGCAGUUACUUGAGUUCAUAAAUACCCUUUGGCAUUAAGCCAGAUUGAGUCUUAAUGCAUAUAGAAAUAAGAGAAAUGAGAAAAGAAAUUGAAAAGAGAGACAGCAGAGAACUGAUUCUCUACUAGAGCCUCCAGAAGGAAUCAACUCUGCCAACACCUUGAUUUUGGACUUGUGGCCUUCAGAACAGUGAAAUGAUAAACAUCUGUUAUUUUAAGGUACCUAGUGUGUAACAUUCCGUCAUGACAGCCCUAGGAAAUGAAUACAGCGAGGAAAAUCCUACCAGCACAAAGGCAUGGAGGUGCCAGGAUGUCUCCUCUGCGUGAAGAGUAGAUGUAGAUGAGGCUGGAAUUAUCUAUCCUAGCUGCCCAGACCCAUGUGCCUUUGUUUUAUGUAGUUACAGCACCUAUGAUACAUAUUUGUUACCAUGUAUGUCACUAUGAACCUCCUCUGGAGGACGGAGAAGUCAAAUACCUUAAUUAUUCCAACACAAGCUUGCGUGAACAGAUAAUCAUCACUACGAGUAUAUUGUGUGCCUGCUAAGCACCACACCUGAGAUAAGCAUUUGCUGUGGUUUGAAUGUCCCCUCCAAAGCUCAUGCUAAAAUUUAAUUGCCAUUGCAACAGUGUUGCAAGGUGAGAACUUUAAGAGAUGAUCAGGUCAUGAGAACUCUGCCCUCGUGAAUGGAUUAAUACCCUUAUCGCAGUAGUGGACCCCCCUUUUCUCUUGCUGUCUGUCUCUCAUGUUAGCUUGUGCUUCCUCCUUUCACCAUGGGAUAACACAGCAAGAAGCCCCUCACCAGAUGCUGGCACCUUGCUAUUGGACUUCCGGCCUCCAGAACUGAGAAAUACAUGUCUUUUCCUUAUAAAUUACCCAGUCUGUGGUAUUCUGUUAUAGCGGCAGAAAAUGGACUAAGACGGCAUUUUGCAUACAUUAUCUGUCUUAUUAAAAAUAAUGUUUUUGCCCAGGAACAUAGAUUCAAGUUGCCCUGAAUAUACAUUAUCUCCCUACAUUAUCUCUUUUAAUCCUCACCUAUUAGGUAGAUAAACUGCUAUUAUCCCCAUUUUGCAGGUGAAACCUCAAGCUCCCAAAGAACUGCAGCAUCGAGGAAAGUAAAACCAAUAGCUAGCAUGUUCAGUAGUCCCCUUUACCCAUGGUACAAUACAGUACGCUAAGAUAUUCUGAGAAAGUGAGAGGCCGCAUUCACGUAUCUUUUAUCGCAGUAUAUUGUUACAAUUGUUGUAUUUUAUUCGUUAUUGUUGUUAGUCUCUUAUUGUGCCUAAUUUAUAAAUUAAGCUUUACCACAGGCAUGUGUGUAUAGGAAAAAACAGUACGGAUGCUCCUCAACUCACAAUAGGGUUAUGUCCUGAUAAACCCUUCGUUCAGUUGAAAAGAUCUUUAAGUUGAAAAUGCAUUUAAUACCUCUAACCUACCAAACAUCAGAGCUUAGCCUAGCAUACCUUAAACAUCCUCAAAACACUUACACUAGCCUACAGUUGAAAAAAAAUCGUCUAACACAAAACCUAUUUUCUAACAAAGCACUGAAUAUCUCAUCUCUUAAUUUUAAUUUUUUUUUUUCUGAGUAACAGGCUGCUCUGUUACUCAGGCUGGAGUGCAGUGGCAUGAUCAUAGCUCACUGCAACCCUGAACUCCUGGGCUCAGGCCAUCCUCCCACCUCAGCCUCCUGAGUAGCUAGGAUACAAGUGCGUGCCACCACACCUGGCUAAUCUUUUAAUUUUUAUUUUUGUAGAGACGAGGUACUGUUUCCCAGGGUGGUCUUGAACUCCUGGCCUCAAGUGAUCCUCCCACCUUGGCCUCCCAAAGUGCUGGGAUUACAGGCGUGAACCACUGUGCCCAGCUUCUUCUUAUAUAUUGAAUACUGUACUUAAAGUAAAAAAUUGAAUGGUUGUAUGGGUACUGUAAGUAUGUUUUCUGCUGAAUGCAUAUCACUCUCACACCAUUGUAAAGUCAGAAAAUUAUAAGUCUAACCAUCAUAUGUUGGGGACCAUCUGUGUAUUACUAUCCAUGGUUUUAAGCAUCCACUAAAAGUCUUGAAAUGUAUCCCCCUCAGGUCAGGGGACACUGCUGUAAUAAUAAAAACAGCUUGCACUUCCACAAGAUUCAGACGUGCCAGAUAGUGGUCUAAGAGCUUUGCAUGCAUGUUAAUUCAUUUCACUCUCACAGUAACCUGAUGAGGGACUUACUAUGAUUCUUCCCAUUUUACAGGUGAGGAAACAGAAAUAAAAAGACACUAAGGGCUUGCUCAAGCUUGAGCUGGAAUUUGCACCCCGGCAGCCUCACUCUAGCUGCCUGUUACUUACUGCAGGCCUGUCGGGUGCCAGGCACUGUGCUGAGCAUUCUACAUAUUUCAUCCUCCCAGCCUCUCAGUGACCAAGUGCAGAAACCUGUGACCAUUUCAUACUGAAUAUUUGAAGGAUAAGCAAGUGAUCGUGGCACACAAAGGGACACUUACUUUGGUGCUUCCUUCAUCCUUAUUUGGUUUUGGACACAUUCCCUGCCUAACUCACCAGACUCCCCAAGGGCAUGGAACAUGUCUAAUGGAGCCUCGGAUCCCGCAUGUAUUGCACGGUUCCUGGCACGUAGUAGAUGCACAUGUUUUCGAACUGACCCAUCAUCUACAUGCGCUCUUGCAUGUGACAUGUCCUGGGAGGCCUCCUCAUCUCAUGACUGCCACAGCCAUGCUCACUGCCCAGGGCACCAGAAGGCAGAAGGCUGGUGAAGCGAUUUGGCUGAAUUCACUGCCUCCCUCUUGACGGAGGGGCUGAGGUGAGGAGGGAGAGGUGGCAGCAGGAUCCACUCCACUCCAAUGGUGCCCAGAUAGACCUAUACAUCACCCAACACAAAUAGAGCCACUCUGAGCAGUAUUGAGCGGAGUGCAGGCAGACAGUGCAAGGGAAGCUGGCCUCUUCAUCCA
This 4156-nucleotide long non-coding RNA is filed under the name Homo sapiens (human). Its description in RNAcentral is "HSALNT0370552". Lineage: Eukaryota; Metazoa; Chordata; Mammalia; Primates; Hominidae. The record is from RNAcentral.